GUCCACGCUGUAAACGAUGGGUGCUAGGUGUUGGAGGUAUCGACCCCUUCAGUGCCGUAGCUAACGCUUUAAGCACCCCACCUGGGGAGUACGUUCGCAAGAAUGAAACUCAAAGGAAUUGACGGGGGCCCCGCACAAGCGGUGGAGCAUGUGGUUUAAUUCGACGCAACGCGAAGAACCUUACCUGGGCUUGAACAGGAGAGGACAGCCUGUGAAAGCAGGUUUCCCGCAAGGGUCUCUCUAGAGGUGCUGCAUGGCUGUCGU
This 264-nucleotide ribosomal RNA is filed under the name uncultured bacterium. RNAcentral describes it as "partial 16S ribosomal RNA". It matches the Rfam family "Bacterial small subunit ribosomal RNA", at positions 793 to 1055 of the family's 1533-position model. The record is from RNAcentral.